This is a long non-coding RNA of Lolium rigidum, 534 nucleotides long. RefSeq lists it as uncharacterized. Lineage: Eukaryota; Viridiplantae; Streptophyta; Magnoliopsida; Poales; Poaceae. The transcript has 2 exons. The record is from RefSeq and is a predicted model, not a curated record.
UCUCUCUCCCCGCCCCUCUCUCUAGCUCAAGUUCUUCCCUUUCUUGCUCUGCGAAGGGUAGAUCAGGUGCACCACGAGUUGGUGAAGCUGCCAGCAUGAUCUGAUGAUCGAACUCAUGGAUGAUGGGGAGGAUCGGGAUCCAUCAAUCAGGUCAUGCUGGAGUUUCAUCUGCUAGUGGGAGCACAACGAAAACCCUAAAAUCUCCAUCCAUAUGGUAUGGAUGCAUCAAUCUCGCCAGGUUCUUCUAGCUAGCCUUCCAGGAAUCCGGCCUCAAGGGUGAGAUGAUCGAGAUCCAUCUUCCUCUCCAUUGAUUGAUGGCCUGCCAGGUUUGUUAAUUUCUGUAACUUCUGCAAGAAGAAGAUGAAAACUAAUCGCUCAAGUACUCCCAAGAGUUUAAUGUUCUAGAUCUAGUUAGCCAUCAAGAGGGUUUAGUUCCAUAUCUAUGAUAUGGCUUGCUAAUUCAUUCAAUCUCAGCUAUAUCAUUGUGAUUACAAUGAUGUUUGUUAGGGGCAUAAAAAAGCAUAUUUAUCUAUA